AUGUGGCUUUUAUUUAAUAAUAAUAAUAAUAAUAUCUUUAUUUCACAAACUUAGAACUAUAUUACAAUGAUAAUGUGGCAACAAUAUCAGAAGUAAUGAGAUUAGCAUCUGUAACCGAACUAGGCAUAGCCUGUAUCUCGGCUAUCAGCACCAUUCCCUUCCAGUAAUUAUUUAUUAUACCAUAAUAGGUGCCAGGAGAUAUAUAUCUUAUACAUUCAUUUAAUAUAUACAUUAGCUUUAAGUUUGUAAGACGACGAUUACAUAAACUUCUAAUUUAUUUCA
This is a long non-coding RNA of Melitaea cinxia (Glanville fritillary), 282 nucleotides long. RefSeq lists it as uncharacterized. The record is from RefSeq and is a predicted model, not a curated record. The transcript has 3 exons. Lineage: Eukaryota; Metazoa; Arthropoda; Insecta; Lepidoptera; Nymphalidae.